Capra hircus (goat) is the source of this 118-nucleotide small nucleolar RNA. The record is from Ensembl. Lineage: Eukaryota; Metazoa; Chordata; Mammalia; Artiodactyla; Bovidae.
ACCACUUGUGUUUCAUUUGUAGACAAAGACUUAUAUAGACAGGUGCAAAAAUAAAUCCUCUUUUGCAACCCAGAACUCAUUGUUCUGUAUGAGAUUUUUAUAGAUUAGAAGGAACAUG